Molecule: transfer RNA, 76 nt
Filed under: Candidatus Dormiibacterota bacterium
Lineage: Bacteria; Bacillati; Candidatus Dormiibacterota
Also listed under: 1 other name
Description: candidate division AD3 bacterium tRNA-Arg
Rfam family: tRNA
About the family: Transfer RNA (tRNA) molecules are approximately 80 nucleotides in length.
Source: RNAcentral
GCCCCGCUAGCUCAGUGGACAGAGCAGGUGCCUUCUAAGCACUUGGCCGGGGGUUCGAAUCCCUCGCGGGGCACCA